CCUACGGGAGGCAGCAGUGAGGAAUAUUGGUCAAUGGACGAGAGUCUGAACCAGCCAAGUAGCGUGAAGGAUGACUGCCCUAUGGGUUGUAAACUUCUUUUAUAUGGGAAUAAAAUGUUCCACGUGUGGGACUUUGUAUGUACCAUAUGAAUAAGGAUCGGCUAACUCCGUGCCAGCAGCCGCGGUAAUACGGAGGGUCCGAGCGUUAUCCGGAUUUAUUGGGUGUAAAGGGAGCGUAGGUGGAUUGUUAAGUCAGUUGUGAAAGUUUGCGGCUCAACCGUAAAAUUGCAGUUGAAACUGGCAGUCUUGAGUGCAGUAGAGGUAGGCGGAAUUCGUAGUGUAGCGGUGAAAUGCGUAGAUAUCACGAAGAACUCCGGUUGCGAAGGCAGCUCACUGGACUGCAACUGACGCUGAGGCUCGAAAGUGUGGGGAGCAAACAGGAUUAGAUACCCCAGUAGUC
Molecule: ribosomal RNA, 460 nt
Filed under: uncultured bacterium
Lineage: Bacteria
Description: partial 16S ribosomal RNA
Rfam family: Bacterial small subunit ribosomal RNA
Source: RNAcentral